Molecule: small RNA, 127 nt
Filed under: Marmota monax (woodchuck)
Lineage: Eukaryota; Metazoa; Chordata; Mammalia; Rodentia; Sciuridae
Source: RNAcentral
GCCAGGUGUGGUGGUGCAUACCUGUAAUUCCAGUGGCUUUGGAGGUUGAGGCAGGAGGAUCGAAAGUUCAAAGCCAGCCUCAGCCACUUCAUGAGGCCCUAAGCAACUUAGUGUGAUCCUGUCUCAA